Neolamprologus brichardi is the source of this 217-nucleotide non-coding RNA. The record is from RefSeq and is a predicted model, not a curated record. Lineage: Eukaryota; Metazoa; Chordata; Actinopteri; Cichliformes; Cichlidae.
CUCUGCUCACAGCACAAUGGGUCAAAUGUCUCUACGACUCCUCUUUCUGACCUCACUGAUCUGCUGCACAACAAACCAAGCUCGUCUGACUGUGAGUCCCAGCAGCUCUCAGCUGUUCUACGGAGACUUUGUGUCUCUGAGCUGUGAGAAGGACGACAGCUCUGCUGGAUGGACUCUGAGGAGAAACACAACCUUUGAAACCAGGACUCAGUGUGGA